This 253-nucleotide ribosomal RNA is filed under the name uncultured bacterium. RNAcentral describes it as "partial 16S ribosomal RNA". It matches the Rfam family "Bacterial small subunit ribosomal RNA", at positions 524 to 776 of the family's 1533-position model. The record is from RNAcentral.
UACGUAGGGGGCUAGCGUUGUCCGGAAUCAUUGGGCGUAAAGCGCGCGUAGGCUGCCCGGUAAGUCCGUUGUAAAAGUCAAAGGCUCAACCUUUGAAAGCCGAUGGAUACUGCCGGGCUAGAAUCCGGAAGAGGCGAGUGGAAUUCCUGGUGUAGCGGUGGAAUGCGCAGAUAUCAGGAGGAACACCAAUAGCGAAGGCAGCUCGCUGGGACGGUAUUGACGCUGAGGCGCGAAAGCGUGGGGAGCGAACAGG